Molecule: transfer RNA, 84 nt
Filed under: Candidatus Pelagibacter sp.
Lineage: Bacteria; Pseudomonadati; Pseudomonadota; Alphaproteobacteria; Candidatus Pelagibacterales; Candidatus Pelagibacteraceae
Description: tRNA-Leu
Rfam family: tRNA
About the family: Transfer RNA (tRNA) molecules are approximately 80 nucleotides in length.
Source: RNAcentral
GCGGGAGUGGUGGAACGGUAGACACGCUAGUCUUAGGAACUAGUAUCCUCGGAUGUGAAGGUUCAAAUCCUUUCUCCCGCACCA